GACGAACGCUGGCGGCGUGCUUAACACAUGCAAGUGGAGCGACGAACCAGGGCUUGCCCUGGGGCAGAGCCGCGAACGGGUGAGUAACACGUGGGUUACCUACCCGACUGACCGGGACAACCCGACGGAAACCCGGGCUAAUACCGGAUGUGGUCUUCGGACGAAAGGAAGCUUCGGCCUCCGCAUCGGGAUGGGCCCGCGGCGCAUUAGCUUGUUGGUGGGGUAACGGCCUACCAAGGCGACGAUGCGAGCUGGUCUGAGAGGACGAUCAGCCACACUGGGACUGAGACACGGCCCAGACUCCUACGGGAGGCAGCAGUGGGGAAGUCUUGCGCAAUGGGCGAAA
Molecule: ribosomal RNA, 346 nt
Filed under: uncultured bacterium
Lineage: Bacteria
Description: bacterial SSU rRNA
Rfam family: Bacterial small subunit ribosomal RNA
Source: RNAcentral